CCAUCCUGGUACAGCAUCAGGAUGUAGGACCUGAAGCCAUCAGUGGUCAGGACAGCCUGGUAUGUGACUGUCUGUGGAGAAGCGUUGAAGACAGGCACAGAGAAGGUCAUUGCCUGCGGGUCUUGGGGGUUUUUGACAACUCAGCAGCACCUGUGUUCCAUCUGUCCCUUACCUUGCGGGUGUCAGUCCAUGCUGCGUAGACAGGUGCCUUCUCCCAGGUGAUCUUCAGGGUCCAGGCUGCAGAGUAGGAGGACCUCAGGUACCGCCGGACCUUCGCUUCCACAUCACGGACAAACGGCGGCUUGGCCGUGUUGAGGGUGGAGAACUCCUGU
Long non-coding RNA from Parus major (Great Tit), 332 nucleotides. RefSeq lists it as uncharacterized. The record is from RefSeq and is a predicted model, not a curated record. NCBI's taxonomy places the organism in Eukaryota, Metazoa, Chordata, Aves, Passeriformes, Paridae. The transcript is spliced from 2 exons.